This 158-nucleotide non-coding RNA is filed under the name Lactobacillus equicursoris. RNAcentral describes it as "Lysine riboswitch". It matches the Rfam family "Lysine riboswitch aptamer". Rfam says of the family: Riboswitches are metabolite binding domains within certain messenger RNAs that serve as precision sensors for their corresponding targets. Allosteric rearrangement of mRNA structure is mediated by ligand binding, and this results in modulation of gene expression. The record is from RNAcentral. Lineage: Bacteria; Bacillati; Bacillota; Bacilli; Lactobacillales; Lactobacillaceae.
AUUGAAGAGGCGCAGCUGACAAGAGUAAGCUAGAAGAGCCCGCCAGGCGAUGAUCUAGCUGAAAGGGGAUGCUGCCGAAGCGCCCGCACCGGCGAUGCGGGAGAGCUGGGCUAUUGCUGAAGAGGCAAUAGACUGUCGCAAGGUUUCUUGCGUUGAGC